AUGAACGCUGGCGGCGUGCCUAAUACAUGCAAGUCGAGCGAACGGACGAGAAGCUUGCUUCUCUGAUGUUAGCGGCGGACGGGUGAGUAACACGUGGAUAACCUACCUAUAAGACUGGGAUAACUUCGGGAAACCGGAGCUAAUACCGGAUAAUAUUUUGAACCGCAUGGUUCAAAAGUGAAAGACGGUCUUGCUGUCACUUAUAGAUGGAUCCGCGCUGCAUUAGCUAGUUGGUAAGGUAACGGCUUACCAAGGCAACGAUGCAUAGCCGACCUGAGAGGGUGAUCGGCCACACUGGAACUGAGACACGGUCCAGACUCCUACGGGAGGCAGCAGUAGGGAAUCUUCCGCAAUGGGCGAAAGCCUGACGGAGCAACGCCGCGUGAGUGAUGAAGGUCUUCGGAUCGUAAAACUCUGUUAUUAGGGAAAAACAUAUGUGUAAGUAACUGUGCACAUCUUGACGGUACCUAAUCAGAAAGCCGCGGCUAACUACGUG
This 496-nucleotide ribosomal RNA is filed under the name uncultured bacterium. Its description in RNAcentral is "partial 16S ribosomal RNA". It matches the Rfam family "Bacterial small subunit ribosomal RNA", at positions 29 to 507 of the family's 1533-position model. The record is from RNAcentral.